CUACGGGUGGCAGCAGUGAGGAAUAUUGCACAAUGGGGGAAACCCUGAUGCAGCAACGCCGCGUGGAGGAUGACGCAUUUCGGUGUGUAAACUCCUUUUAUCAGAGAAGAUAAUGACGGUAUCUGAUGAAUAAGCUCCGGCUAACUCCGUGCCAGCAGCCGCGGUAAUACGGAGGGAGCAAGCGUUACUCGGAAUCACUGGGCGUAAAGGACACGUAGGCCGGUUGGUCAGUCAGGUGUGAAAUCCAACGGCUUAACCGUUGAACUGCACUCGAAACUACCAACCUAGAGUAUGGAAGGGGCAGAUGGAAUUAGUGGUGUAGGGGUAAAAUCCGUAGAUAUCACUAGGAAUACCGAAAGCGAAAGCGAUCUGCUGGGACAUUACUGACGCUGAGGCGUGAAAGCGUGGGGAGCAAACAGGAUUAGAUACCCCGGUAGUC
This 439-nucleotide ribosomal RNA is filed under the name uncultured bacterium. RNAcentral describes it as "partial 16S ribosomal RNA". It matches the Rfam family "Bacterial small subunit ribosomal RNA", at positions 339 to 795 of the family's 1533-position model. The record is from RNAcentral.